AACGCACAUUGCGCCCGCUAGUAUUCUGGCGGGCAUGCCUGCCCGAGCGUCAUUUCAACCCUCGCACGCCCCUUCGGGGGCGGCGGUGUUGGGGGCCGGCCGAGAAGGGGGAGCUCCCAGGAGCCCGCCCCGGACGGCCGCCCCCGAAAUGCAGUGGCGGUCCCGCCGGCGCCUCCCCCGCGUAGUAGCAACAGCCUCGCGGACCGGGAAGCCCGGCGCGGCACCCUCGCCGUAAAACCCCCCCAAUUCGAAGGCCCACGGGCCGAAGAGUUUGACCUCGGAUCAGGUAGGAAUACCCGCUGAACUUAA
This 309-nucleotide unclassified non-coding RNA is filed under the name uncultured fungus. Its description in RNAcentral is "partial contains 5.8S ribosomal RNA, internal transcribed spacer 2, and large subunit ribosomal RNA". Lineage: Eukaryota; Fungi. The record is from RNAcentral.